RNAcentral lists this ribosomal RNA (209 nucleotides) under uncultured Rhodocyclaceae bacterium. RNAcentral describes it as "partial 16S ribosomal RNA". It matches the Rfam family "Bacterial small subunit ribosomal RNA", at positions 1175 to 1382 of the family's 1533-position model. The record is from RNAcentral. Lineage: Bacteria; Pseudomonadati; Pseudomonadota; Betaproteobacteria; Rhodocyclales; Rhodocyclaceae.
GGGGAUGACGUCAAGUCCUCAUCGGCCCUUAUGGGUAGGGCUUCACACGUCAUACAAUGGUCGGUACAGAGGGUUGCCAACCCGCGAGGGGGAGCUAAUCCCACAAAGCCGAUCGUAGUCCGGAUCGCAGUCUGCAACUCGACUGCGUGAAGUCGGAAUCGCUAGUAAUCGUGGAUCAGCAUGUCACGGUGAAUACGUUCCCGGGUCUU